UCGGAUGCAAGACAAAUGGGAAAUUGAGAUAUGGUGUUUCCGGCGUGUAGUCGUACGGAACAAGAUAACCAAUAAGGGUAAAAAAAAUUGAAAUUUGGACACUUGUUGACAAUAAUUAUCGGUUUUUGAAAGAUACAUAUUUCGUAAGCCUUAAUAGGCCAAAAGCGUUAAGAGGUGAAUUAUAGUUAAAACGACCGUGCGGUGUAAAUUGGAACGAGUCGUGUAGACGAGAUGGCAAUAAGCUUUAUCUCGCCAAUAUCAUCGGUCAUUUAGACCAACGGGUCAAAAGGUGAAAAUAUCACAUUUUGACAAUAUCGACUAAUGGUUUGAUGAGUUGUUUGAUUUCAGAAAUAAAUAUCGAGUGGAUAUUUACAUCGCUAUUACUUAGUAGAUAUCGAGGCAAGGUACUUAAAUGGGUCAAUGUAAUGAUCCGAGCCAGGUACGCAUAAUAACAUAACUCUCAUUUAAAUGUAAGACUAAUGAGAGUUAAACGAAGCCUAGAAUAAGUUUUUGAUUACCCUAAUAGGUAAACCAAAUGUUACGGAUGAUGGUCAUUAUAUUUGAAAGGCCUAGUGCCCUUUUAAAUAAAAUCAUAGUUAAAAGAUCGGAGUUUGGGUUAAACAAGUAAUUAAAAGUCAUUCGUCGUAAAUGAAGGACUGAUGUUAACCAAAACGCCCUUGUAGGCUAAAUUGAACAAACAACCCUUAAAGGUUGUUUGGAAACGAGUUUUACAAUUAGAUAAUUACUUAGGAUGAGUAUGGAAGUUGAAGGAUGUAAAACGUUAGUCAAAUGGCUCUAUUUGAGUCUUUGCCGUAAAAUAACGCUUUGAAGGGUAAAUUUUGAUAUAUAUAAAUCACCACAUUAAAUCCACCACAAAUAUAGUUGUGGUGGAAGAUCCUUUGAUAAGAAAUGUGGACAUAUAUAUUUGGAAAUGAAUGAAAGCAAAGGGUGCUUAAAAUAUGCUUAAAUACCUCAAACGGGUCAAAAUAAGCAUAUGGGUGAAAAUGGGUUAAAGAAGUUAUAUAAUUCUAUAAUUGGAACCUAAUAUGUUAGGCAUCAUUGAAUUUAAUAGAUUUAUGAGAAUUAAGGGUCAAACAAACUUGUAUGUUUGAUAAAAUCACGAACGGGUCAAAUUUUGGUAAAAGAGUAAUAAGCCGAAGACUUAAAAGUCUUAAAUUUUAUUCAAGCCGGAUGUCGGAUUUAACUCCAUAUGAUGGAGAAUUAAAUUACAAUCAUGUAGGAAGAAAUGGUAGGUCAAACGGAUAAGUGGUUUGAAAGAUACGAAAGAUUUCGUGCCAAAUACGGUAAAAUGGAAAGCUGGAAUGCAGAGACCACCGUAACUUACGGUGCCACCGUAAGUUACGGUGGAGAUGAAAAAGCUACGGUAGAUUCCCCCUGUUUUACGGUGGGAGAAUUAACAUUCAGAGGCCACCGUAACUUACGGUGCCACCGUAAGUUACGGUGGAGGCCAGGUUGAAAUUUUUGUUUUUUUCUUAUCAAUUGUUUCUCGGAUUCGUUUAGACACGUUUUAAACCCUGUAUGACUAAAGCAUUUCAUGUUUAU
RNAcentral lists this long non-coding RNA (1563 nucleotides) under Helianthus annuus (common sunflower). Lineage: Eukaryota; Viridiplantae; Streptophyta; Magnoliopsida; Asterales; Asteraceae. The record is from RNAcentral.